RNAcentral lists this ribosomal RNA (463 nucleotides) under uncultured bacterium. Its description in RNAcentral is "partial 16S ribosomal RNA". It matches the Rfam family "Bacterial small subunit ribosomal RNA", at positions 28 to 507 of the family's 1533-position model. The record is from RNAcentral.
GACGAACGCUGGCGGCGUGCUUAACACAUGCAAGUCGAGCGGAAAGGCCAUUUCGUUGUUCCUCGAGCGCCAAACGGGUGGGUAACACUUGGUUAAUCGCCCCCUGCCUUGGGGUAAGCCACGGAAAACGGUAAUAAAAACCGAAUAGGACCCUUUCCCGCAGGCGUUUGUUUGGAAAUUUUUUCGGCAGGGGAUGUGCUCGCGGCCUAUCAGCUUGAUGGUGAGGUAAUGGCUCACCAUGGCUUCGACGGGUAGCCGGCCUGAGAGGGUGACCGGUCACACUGGGACUGAGACACGGCCCAGACUCCUACGGGAGGCAGCAGUGGGGAAUAUUGGACAAUGGGCGGAAGCCUGAUCCAGCAACGCCGCGUGAGGGAUGACGGCCUUCGGGUUGUAAACCUCUUUCAGUACCGACGAAGCGCAAGUGACGGUAGGUACAGAAGAAGCACCGGCCAACUACGUG